AAUGAACGCUGGCGGCGCGCCUAAUACAUGCAAGUCGAGCGAGAAGACGUAGCAAUACGUUUGUAAAGCGGCGAACGGGUGAGGAAUACAUGGGUAACCUACCCUCGAGUGGGAAUAACUAGCCGAAGGUUAGCUAAUACCGCGUACGCUCCUUGGACUUCGGUUCAGGGAGGAAAGCGAUACCGUGGGUAUCGCGCUCUUGGUUGGGCUCAUGUCCUAUCAGCUUGUUGGUGAGGUAACGGCUCACCAAGGCUUCGACGGGUAGCUGGUCUGAGAGGACGAUCAGCCACACUGGCACUGCGACACGGGCCAGACUCCUACGGGAGGCAGCAGUAAGGAAUAUUGCGCAAUGGGCGAAAGCCUGACGCAGCGACGCCGCGUGGGGGAUGAAAGU
Molecule: ribosomal RNA, 394 nt
Filed under: uncultured bacterium
Lineage: Bacteria
Description: bacterial SSU rRNA
Rfam family: Bacterial small subunit ribosomal RNA
Source: RNAcentral